GUCUAUGGCCAUGCUACCUUGAACAAGCCCGAUUCUGUCUGAUCUUGGAAGCUAAGCAGGGUCAGGCCUGGUUAGUACUUGGAUGGGAGAUCACCUAGGAAGACCAGGUGCUGUAGGCG
This 119-nucleotide ribosomal RNA is filed under the name Pteropus alecto (black flying fox). The record is from RNAcentral. Lineage: Eukaryota; Metazoa; Chordata; Mammalia; Chiroptera; Pteropodidae.